RNAcentral lists this long non-coding RNA (737 nucleotides) under Sorghum bicolor (sorghum). RNAcentral's name for it is "long non-coding RNA (SBIC_LNC012125)". Lineage: Eukaryota; Viridiplantae; Streptophyta; Magnoliopsida; Poales; Poaceae. The record is from RNAcentral.
UAAGCAGGGUAGGACAAGAAGAAGACGACGCAACCGCAACCAGAGGAGGCAGAUUAUCAAGGACGGAUGGGCAGAUUAUGAAGGAGAAGUGGUAAGGUCUGAAGACAUAUAGCUUGAACAGAAUUAUCCUGAGUAGACCGUAGCACCAAGUCAGGUGUGGAGAGAAAAGAUAACUAUACACGAAGAAGAGGCACCGCCGGAAGCACCGACUACGCCACCCAACGAAUCCCAUGACAACUAGAAAAUAGAGAGUCCCGUUCGGAGGACUUAAAAACACCGAACGCCUUGCCAAGAGGUAAACUUGGUAGUUAGCCGUUUCCUUUCAAUUAUUUCAAAUAGUUUGCUUAGUUAAUCAUGUUCAUACUAUCUUAAAAAGAAAAUAAAAAUGUUAAAACUAGUAAGCCCCAUGUGAGUAUACGAGUGGCAUAAAACCCAUAAGUACAUUCACUGUGGUGGCAUAAAAAUAAAAUAAAUAUUUUUUCUGCUCUAUAAAAUGAAAAUAUAAAGAGAGUAACAUUUAUUGAGGAGGCUCAACAUGAUAAAGGCUAGAUAUUUAUGCUAACACUUAAUCAGUUCCACAAAGCUUUGUUGUCUAUUUGAGCUCCACAUAAUUCAAGAAUCAAGAAGACUAGCAGACAGAGGACAUUCUAAUCGCUGUCAGGGUACUGCCGACUUUCAAAUACACCUCUGCCACCUACUAGCUACAUCAGAAGAAAUUACGUCAAAAUUUAGCUUGG